RNAcentral lists this ribosomal RNA (287 nucleotides) under Staphylococcus epidermidis NIHLM049. RNAcentral's name for it is "partial 16S ribosomal RNA". It matches the Rfam family "Bacterial small subunit ribosomal RNA", at positions 1 to 275 of the family's 1533-position model. Lineage: Bacteria; Bacillati; Bacillota; Bacilli; Caryophanales; Staphylococcaceae. The record is from RNAcentral. RNAcentral also lists the same sequence under 1 other name.
UUUUUAUGGAGAGUUUGAUCCUGGCUCAGGAUGAACGCUGGCGGCGUGCCUAAUACAUGCAAGUCGAGCGAACAGACGAGGAGCUUGCUCCUCUGACGUUAGCGGCGGACGGGUGAGUAACACGUGGAUAACCUACCUAUAAGACUGGGAUAACUUCGGGAAACCGGAGCUAAUACCGGAUAAUAUAUUGAACCGCAUGGUUCAAUAGUGAAAGACGGUUUUGCUGUCACUUAUAGAUGGAUCCGCGCCGCAUUAGCUAGUUGGUAAGGUAACGGCUUACCAAGGCA